GGAGGGGGCAAGCGUUAUCCGGAUUUACUGGGUUUAAAGGGUGCGUAGGUGGGUAGGAAAGUCAGUGGUGAAAUCUUCGAGCUUAACCCGGAAACUGCCAUUGAUACUAUUUAUCUUGAAUACUUUGGAGGUAAGCGGAAUAUGUCAUGUAGCGGUGAAAUGCUUAGAUAUGACAUAGAACACCAAUUGCGAAGGCAGCUUACUACACAGUUAUUGACACUGAGGCACGAAAGCGCGGGGAUCAAACAGGAUUAGAUACCCUGGUAGUCCACGCCGUAAACGAUGGAUACUCGACGUCGGCGAUACACUGUUGGUGUCUGAGCGAAAGCAUUAAGUAUCCCACCUGGGAUGUACGAUCGCAAGAGUG
RNAcentral lists this ribosomal RNA (367 nucleotides) under uncultured bacterium. RNAcentral's name for it is "bacterial SSU rRNA". It matches the Rfam family "Bacterial small subunit ribosomal RNA", at positions 527 to 896 of the family's 1533-position model. The record is from RNAcentral.